This is a long non-coding RNA of Apis florea (little honeybee), 4597 nucleotides long. The record is from RefSeq and is a predicted model, not a curated record. Lineage: Eukaryota; Metazoa; Arthropoda; Insecta; Hymenoptera; Apidae.
AGAGAGAGAGAGGUUGAUGCCCGGGUUUACUUCCUAGUCUGCCGGUUCCCUGUAUCGACCGGAUAGCGUCCCGACGUCUAUACCGCGUGUUCGCCCGCCUCUGCCCCGUCCUCCACCGCUCUCUCUAUAAACUCUGCUCUCUUUUCUUCUUUCCAUGUUGCGGCAACCGCGUCUGCAUCCGUUGGGGGAGGGAGGGAGGGAGGGGCGCAUCCCCGUCUGGCGUCUCUGGAAAAACCGUAGGUCAGUGCUGGACCGACGUCUGCAGAAUCGUGUCGGGAUAGGAGGAGUGUGGUGGGGAGAGGCGAAGUUGGACGAUGAUGCAGAUCUCUCUCUCUCUCUCUCUCUUCGAGAGGAGAGGUUCGAUUUUUCUUGCUGUUUCGCGGGAAGGAAGUUCGUGAUCGAUUAAUUAAUUGAUUAAUUUCCGCGGGGACGAUGAUGAUGAUUGAAUUUUUGGAAUUUUUGAUGAACGAUCUGUCUCUCCUUUUAUGGAUAUUUUUGUUUUUCUUUUUUUUUUUUAAGGAAGAUUAAGAUUAAGAUUAAGAUACAGUUCGGUUAGGAUAUUUCGUUGAAAUGUUUUUUCAAGAAACAACAACAUCGUUCUUUUCUUCUAGUCGACGUCGAUCAUCGAUCCUGCGACAAACCACGGAGAAACUCGAUUACGAAGAUUGACGUUCACCGGCAGCAACUUUCCAAGAAUUCCAAGCACGUUAAGAGGCAGAAAUACCGACAUAUUGAAACGGGUUAAAUGAUAAUCAGAGACCGUGGGAGUGGUAGUUCCUCGAGGGUGCGCCGGUUGUUUUACUCUCGAACAGACGACUGACCGCGAUCGCCAUUUCGGCUAACUUUUUUCCUUUUUUUUUCUUUUUCCUCUCUUUUACCGGGUUAACCAUAUUGUUGCGGUCAUACAGUUGUUUUUUUCUUUUUUAAAUUAUCAUAAAUUGCCGUUGUCAUUCGUAAAUUCAGAAUCAGAAUCGAUUUUUGAAUCUUUGAUCUUCCAGAUCUUUUUGAUUCUGUUAAAAAUCGUGUAAUGUUUUGCCUUAUUUGAAUUAAUCUUGUAAGUCGAGAUUUUAUUUUAUAUUCAAUUUUUAAUGGGUGUCUUCUUCUAUUUCUUCUUCUUUUUUUUUAUUCGUUUAUUCCAUGUUUGAUUCGUUCAGAAGAAAGUAAUUUUUUAAUCUUGAAAUAAGCGUAACAAUAGAGUUGAAGAAAAAAUACGUAGAGGGAAUCGGUAAAUGAGAAUGUUUAGAAACGACACGGAAUACUUCAAUUGAGUUCAAAUGUUUUUUGCAACUGAAAAUUAAGUUUUUUUUUUCUGAUAAUUAGAGUAAAACGUAUAAUUAUUUUAUUUUUAAAUCAAAGCAAUGUUCUCUUUAUAUAUUCUCAAUGCUGAUGAAGUCUAGACGGUAAAAAAAAAUGUUCUGUGACAUUUUCAUAAAUUGCAGCUCUGAACUUGGAUCUUGUAAAAAAGACAUGACAUGGUUAUAUUUUACGGUUAAUUGUAAGAGAGAGAGAGAGAGAAAGAAAAAAUAAACGCAACUUUUUACAGCGUUGGAUAUUUUAUUUAGGUUAAUUACCAAGGUGUAAAUGGAAAUGUAUUAUGUUUCUUCCAGAUCUUUGAUGAAUUGGGAUGGAAUGUGUAUAAUGCUUUAUGACGUAUUGCAUGAUGUGUCGUAAGCCUGUAUUUCCACGUUUUUAGUUAUCAAUCUGAUUAGAAAAUAAUGUGUAUAAUGUGAUCCACUGUAAUGUUGAAGAAUUGUAUUGUAAAUGGGUCGAUGUUGAUGAAUAAUUUAUAUGAUGUAUUGCUAUGUUUUUAACCAUAUUUUAACAUUGACAUAACCAUUCUUCUAAUUGCAUAAACAUAUUAUAAAUAAGUAAAAAUUAAUAUUACUUGAAACUUAUUUCGAUUAUGUAAAGAUCAUCAUAUAUAUGUGAAUAAUACACAUAUAUAAUACGCUAUAUCAUUCAAUCCGUAAUUAUAAGUCAUAAUUUAUAUAAUACAAUACUAUAAUAUUAAAAAUUGUAAUAUUCACACUUUUUAAAAAGAAAUUAAAAAAUAAUUUUUAGAAACAAGAAUUUUGAAUCGAAAAGCGACUGAAACGCCCUCACUUCGAUGCGUCAUUCUUUGUAAAGUUAACCUGUUGAUUAAGAAGAACGUGUUUGUUCGUAUUACGUGGAUUAUUUGCAAUUUUGUUAUAAUUUGUGUCGUGCCAGUGAUUUUUCUUUCUACGUAGACAUAAAUGUACAUUAAUCUCAUAUCAUUUUUCACAAUUUCGACGUGUCAACUGGUCGAAAGAUAAACUCAUUACGUUUCUCACGAUUUUAGUUGUCCUCUUUAGGUUAUCAUCACGUUUGUUACGCUUAAAAUUGAACUAACGAAAAUAUAUUCUGUCGUAUAAUUCUCUAAAGAAAAUUAACUUUUACAAAAUUUUCAUAUUUUAAAAUUAUUUUAUUAAUAGGGUUAUUUCUUAACCAAAAACUUAUUACAGAAAUUGAAAUUUAUUAUUAGAUAAGUGUGAAUAUGACAUAAUAUAGUCUGAAUAUAAAUACAAUGAUGAAUAGGGGAUUUUACAUUUUAAAUAGGAGAUUCGUAAAUAAAAAAUUUAUUACAUCCAAGAUUGAUUACAUAUUAAUAAUUCAUAAGUUAACUCGUCUUUCUCAGUUAUAGAAAAUUACAUAUUGCAAUCAUGUUUUCAAAUAACACUACAAUCUUCUUCCGUCAAUUCUUUUCUUUUGAUCAGUAUCGUUUCUCGAUUAUAAACGAAUAUUUUUUUCAUAUAAUCUAACCUAACUUCAUGCAAUCGAUUACACGAUCUCGCGAUGACGCGAAAUCGAUACGAGAUACUUUCGUGCCAUUGCAAGAUUGUAUAGCAUUGUCGAUUUUCAUUGUUGAGGAAUCGCACGAAAUUCGCGACUCGUUAUAAGUUAUAAAACUACGAAACAUCUCGACAUUUCUCAUAUUUGAAAGCGGUGCCGCGGUGCAACGAACAAUUACGUAACAUGGCAGCCAAGCAAGUGGAGUUGGCAAUCCUGUUCUCUUUUGAGACGCGCCCACCUUCUGUAUUUACAUAUAUUUACAUGUUAAUAUGUAGGGUGCAUCGGAUAACGUUACCACCUCGAGCGAUUCAUUUCUUAGUCGUGUUAACAGAUCGAAAAGUGAUUCAAAAAAAUGCGAGAAGCUGAGGUCAUAUUGUAUGAAUGAAUCGUGAUAUAAUGUGAAUAUUACAGUGUUCGAUACGAGUGUUCGAUCAUGUUGCUAUACAUGAGCUAGUAAGAAAAGUGUUUAAAAAUUGUUCUUUUUUUCUUUCUUUUACAUUCAAUUAUCGAUCAAUCAUCGUAUUAAUACUUUAAUUGCGAAUAUAUAUAUGAUAAAUUUUUCUUAGUUAAUAGUUUAACGUUAUACGAAUAGAUUAAAGGAAGUAGAUUAUAGUGAAAAAAUAUAAACUAACCUAUACAAAUUAGUGUUUAUUGUUAUAAAAUAAUAAUUAUAAAAAUCAAAUAUUUGACGUGCAGAGAAGAAUGCAUAUUUUUGAGUAAUAUUAAAUUAUUAAAUAAAAAUUUAGAAUAGAUUUCGUAUUAAAAUCAUUCGUAAGAAUAUGUAUGUAAACGUUCGAAGUAUAAUAAGCGAGGAGUGGGAGAAAGCUGAAUUCCGGCAGUUGUGCGUAGCAAGUCGUUUUGUUUACAUCGAUUAUUGCGUCGUUUUGAUUUUCUACGUAAAAGUAAGAUCCAUGUACCGUCGUUUCACGAAUUCCCCACCCCCCUCUCCCCAAACCUCGAAGGGCCAUUUAUUAAACGCUGGAUCAGAAAGACUCGGCAUGUUCAAGUCUCGUCAUAAUUUCACCAGGAAACAAAGAAAAAAGAAAAACGAUAAAUCAAUCUCCUCUUCCCCGACAAUCAAACUUUUGCCCCGCACUGUAAUGCGAGACUUCCCUCCUUCCUCCCCCUCCCCCCUCCCCUCCAUACCCAUAUCCGCGCGCGCACAAAAGAUCCCAUCGAGGAGGGUAUCCGUCGUGGAUUCAGCCGUUGCAACGAGCUUACCUGUUCACGUGCCGGUUGAAGGUGACCGUGCCUCCUAGCCAGGAGUGCAUCGAACGAGGUAUCCAGGCUGACACCCACGCCGCCACGUUUUCUGGGCCGAAAAAUCGCGGGAGAGCGCCGUUCACUUCCGCGUGGCCUGCGCGCGCGCGCGCACGCAACCAAGCCAGCCAACCAGACGGAGCCAGAGUGCAAGCGAGCGCGGAGAGACCCGGGUUCCGGGUCGGUUUUUCGCCCUGAAAACGUCGCGAUUGUCGAGGCCCGGCCUGGGCGAGCCGGGCGUGACCAGUUCUCCAUGUAUAUAUAUAUAUAUAUAUAUGUAUAUUUAUGUAUGUGUGUGUGUUUAUAUUUUUUCCUUUUUUUCUCUCUCUCACUCUCUUCUCUCCUCCUCCCUCUUUCUCCUUCUCCGCUCUCUGAUCUCCUUCUUCGCGCCCCUUUUUUUUUCUUCUCGGGAGAGACGCGCACACUUGUGCACGCACAGCUUCGAACGGACACCGAGGUUCGUGCCGGCGGCGGUUGUGUUUCAAUCUCUUUCGAGACGAUUCACCUUUUCCCUUUUUUCUUUUUU